This 60-nucleotide microRNA precursor is filed under the name Blattella germanica (German cockroach). RNAcentral describes it as "Bge-Novel-9-P2_pre stem-loop". The record is from RNAcentral. Lineage: Eukaryota; Metazoa; Arthropoda; Insecta; Blattodea; Blattellidae.
UACGAUAAUGUCUGUGGCUCAGAUUGGUGUAUAAAUUCUGACCGUGGACAAUAUGGUACU